UCAAGAAACUUCCACAAUGGCCGAAAGCCUGAUGGAGCGACGUCGCGUGAUGGACGAAGUGCUUCGGCACGUAAACAUCUUUUAUGUGGGAUGAAAUUAUUGACAGUACCACAUGAAUAAGGGGCUCCUAACUCUGUGCCAGCAGGAGCGGUAAUACAGAGGCCCCAAGCGUUAUCCGGAAUCACUGGGCGUGAAGGGUGUCGAGGCGGUUGUAUUAGUCGUUCGUAAAAUCUACGAGCUUAACUUGUAGGCGGCGAACGAAACGGUACGACUUGAGGUUUGGAGAGGUGCGUGGAACUCACGGUGUAGGGGUGAAAUCCGUCGAUAUCGUGGGGAACACCAAAGGCGAAGGCAGCGCACUGGCCAAAAUCUGACGCUCACACACGAAAGCUAGGGUAGCGAAGAGGAUUAGAUACCCUAGUAGUCCCUGAGCGGGCUGGCAAGGCGCAU
Molecule: ribosomal RNA, 450 nt
Filed under: uncultured bacterium
Lineage: Bacteria
Description: bacterial SSU rRNA
Rfam family: Bacterial small subunit ribosomal RNA
Source: RNAcentral